Molecule: ribosomal RNA, 99 nt
Filed under: Periophthalmus magnuspinnatus
Lineage: Eukaryota; Metazoa; Chordata; Actinopteri; Gobiiformes; Gobiidae
Source: RNAcentral
AUACCUCUUUGUCAAAACCUGAUCUCAUCAAAUCUCAGCAGCUAAGAGAGGGUGGGCCUGGUUAGUACUUGGAUGCGAGACCACUGGGAAUAUCAAGUA